GACGAACGCUGGCGGCGUGCUUAACACAUGCAAGUCGAACGGAAAGGCCCUGCUUUUGUGGGGUGCUCGAGGGGCGAACGGGUGAGUAACACGUGAGUAACCUGCCCUUGACUUUGGGAUAACUUCAGGAAACUGGGGCUAAUACCGGAUAGGAGCUCCUGCUGCAUGGUGGGGGUUGGAAAGUUUCGGCGGUUGGGGAUGGACUCGCGGCUUAUCAGCUUGUUGGUGGGGUAGUGGCUUACCAAGGCUUUGACGGGUAGCCGGCCUGAGAGGGUGACCGGCCACAUUGGGCCUGCGAUACGGCCCAGACUCCUACGGGAGGCAGCAGUGGGGAAUAUUGCACAAUGGGCGGGAGCCUGAUGCAGCAACGCCGCGUGCGGGAUGACGGCCUUCGGGUUGUAAACCGCUUUCGCCUGUGACGAAGCGUGAGUGACGGUAAUGGAUAAAGAAGCACCGGCUAACUACGUG
Molecule: ribosomal RNA, 468 nt
Filed under: uncultured bacterium
Lineage: Bacteria
Description: partial 16S ribosomal RNA
Rfam family: Bacterial small subunit ribosomal RNA
Source: RNAcentral